CGCGUUCGAGUCAAUCCAAGUUUGUAUAGGUGUUCUGUGCCAAUCCUUGCUGUGUUUGAAGCGAUGCGAAAACUGGGAAAGUUUGUAGUUUAGUGCUUUAGUACGUCGCAGGCCCAGCAAGGCGUAUUGCAGAAAGUUUCCUGCUCUCUUUGGAAUAGCUUGCGGGUGCAUCGAGACAUGCAGCAUGCAGUUUCCACCAGAGCUGAGAGGUAGCCAGCCCUUUCUGACCUCAGGUUUUCAGCAGCCGGAGCAGCCCUGGGGUGCUCCGUCUACACUGCCUGUCACCCAUGGCCCCCCAUCAAUGCCAGCAACCAUGCCUGCAGCACCACUGCACAGCGGGUUACCCACGUGUGCCACCCCGCAUGGUGCAGUUCCGCCGUGGCCAUCAUCCUCCCCUCCGCUGGCGGCGUUCACCACUGUGCCCACCCCAUGGGUGCAGACAGUGCCCAAUGCUAUGCCAUGGGCCACCUAUCCAACUCCUACCACUGGGGAACUGCAGGUCAUGCGAUUCUCAGCCGGCGAGGCUCCCAGAUGGGCCGUGAAUGAGCGGCGCUUCCGUAAGCGGCACCUUCCUCCUUUAGUGGGCGCUGGGUUCCCACCGAGGAAGCAGAUCAUCACUGAGGAGAAGAUCACGGCACAAAUGAAUGACCUUAGCCUGGACGGGAUGGUCGCGGCCUGCAGCGAGGAGGAGGAGGAGAAGCGGCUGCAUGUGCUCUGCCCUGACCUAGAACCCUCGCCUGAGCCCCUGCUGCCACGGCCCGUGCUGGAGGACCUGAAACAAGAAAAAUGGUACCAAAUUUCCCAGAAACUUCCCAGAAAUGCAGCAUGCAGGCAGCCACGCCUCCAUUGCAAGCAUUUGAGCAGCCGCAAGCGGACAUCUAUGGCUGUGGUGCUAUGGCAGCCCCCCCCCCUGGGGCACCCCCCCGUCCAGGAUGGAACAGCUGAGGAGAGCAGCACGGACACACAGGAACAAGAAUCGGGACCCUGCCCUGGUGUCUAGACCCGGUCAGUGGUACCAGUUGCAUCGGCAUCGGCGCCGUGGUCCAUCUGCUCAGCUGGGAUGCUGUAGACCCAGGACGCAAAUCCCGAUGCAGGGAAAACAAAGGGAGAAGAACAGGAGGACACCAACAUGGAUCUAUGACAGCCAUUGCCACUCCUGGAGAAAGCUUGUGGCAUACCAGUGGCGACAUGCUCUGGUCUUGCCCUGACAGGUGUGGCAUGUCAAGGCUUUUUGCGAGCCAGUCACUGCACAUACAAGCCAACGACAUACAUCAUCACCUUUAAUUACUGGCACAAGUUGUUGAAGCCGUGACAGAGUGUACUGCCGACCUGCUUGGUGAAAGGAAAGGCACUUACAUUCAAGUGUAUUGAUUAACAUUGCACAUAAGAAAAGAAAGUAAUAAAAGCCAAGUACUGAAUAA
RNA transcript from Dermacentor andersoni, 1421 nucleotides. RefSeq lists it as uncharacterized. The record is from RefSeq and is a predicted model, not a curated record. NCBI's taxonomy places the organism in Eukaryota, Metazoa, Arthropoda, Arachnida, Ixodida, Ixodidae.